UCCCUGCUGGCUCAGAUGGUAAAGAAUCUGCCUGCAAUGCAGGAGACCCGGGUUCAGUCCUGGGUUGGGAA
RNAcentral lists this transfer RNA (71 nucleotides) under Bos taurus (domestic cattle). It matches the Rfam family "tRNA". Rfam says of the family: Transfer RNA (tRNA) molecules are approximately 80 nucleotides in length. RNAcentral also lists the same sequence under 3 other names. Lineage: Eukaryota; Metazoa; Chordata; Mammalia; Artiodactyla; Bovidae. The record is from Rfam by way of RNAcentral.